RNAcentral lists this unclassified non-coding RNA (355 nucleotides) under soil metagenome. RNAcentral's name for it is "partial contains 5.8S ribosomal RNA, internal transcribed spacer 2, and large subunit ribosomal RNA". The stretch from base 1 to 120 matches the Rfam family "5.8S ribosomal RNA", at positions 35 to 154 of the family's 154-position model. The record is from RNAcentral.
GAUGAAGAACGUAGUGAAAUGCGAUAAGUAGUGUGAAUUGCAGAAUUCAGUGAAUCAUCGAAUCUUUGAACGCACAUUGCGCCUUCUAGUAUUCUGGGAGGCAUGCCUGUUUGAGCGUCAUUAAACCUCUCUCAAGUAUGAUUACUUGGAUGUGAAGGAAGAGUACCUUAAACUUAAGGAGUGUUCUCCUUUGAAAUUGAUUAGCAGAUGGUAAUGUUAUUAAAUCCCUGAUGUUGUAAGAAAUAACAGUGGUUUUGUAGACUAUUAUCUAGCUUUAAAUUAUAAUUUUUAUUAUGGUUGACCUCAAAUCAGGUAAGGAUACCCGCUGAACUUAAGCAUAUCAAUAAGCGGUGGA